Molecule: long non-coding RNA, 3178 nt
Organism: Aethalodelphis obliquidens (Pacific white-sided dolphin)
Lineage: Eukaryota; Metazoa; Chordata; Mammalia; Artiodactyla; Delphinidae
Exons: 3
Source: RefSeq, a predicted model, not a curated record
GCUGUCCGACUCCUCGUAAUCCACCUCCUCCUCGUCGUACUCGCUGCCUGUGGGGCCAGAGGAGAAACACAAGGGCUGUCAGGACGCCCCGCACGGCGGCGGCUCCUGCUGCCCUGGGAGAGAGCGUCCAGGCGCCAAGGGGCCGCAAGUGCAUCUAGUCCCCGGGACAGUCCUGGGGGCAACAUAUCUGCUUUCCCACGGGAGAGACCAGGGAAAGGGCUUCCCAGCGAUUCAUGGCGAGGAAUGAGCUGUGCAAGAGCUUGGACUCAGUCUUCUGCGGGAAAGGUUUGAUCUUCUUGGGGUACAAGAAUCUGGUGACUAAAAGAAACAGGAGCUGAUGUUGGCCAGUGGAAGAUGCGGGUUCCAAGUUAUUGACCAACUGACCCUUGGCGAGGGUCAUCAGGGCAACAUGAUGCAAGAGAGAUCAAAAUGGCUCCUUUCCCCUGAGCCUUCCAGUUGCUGCUCAAGAUUCAUGGAGACUUAACAUAAAGGUUUCCUGUGGCAACAGGCAACUCUUAAGACCUACUUCCGAUGCAGAAGUGUUUUCAAAUUGCGACUCAUAAGUGGGUCGUGAAAUCAUUUUUGCGGGGCACAAUCAGCAUUUAAAAAAAUAAAAGGACAGAAUGGAAAAGAAAGUAUCAGAGUGUGAGAUGUGUUUGUAACACUUGUUUCAGGUAUGUGUCUCAGCGUAAAAAUCAUUUGGACCACAAGUCACAGGAAGAAAGCAUAAAGCCAUUUUUAACCACCAGCAUCUCAUUUACAGAACUUCUUUCUAAAAGCACCAACAUUUCAUCCAGAGGAAACAAAUCAAACAAUUUGAACCUACAUUUAAAUAGGGUAUAGAACAGGCUGAAACAGAAGAGAAAGGUCGUUUUUGGUGCCUGCCAACAAGGCAUCGUGUCGGCUAGCAGGAACCUACAAUGUAACGGGGAGGCAGGCUGUCAGCAAGCAGACCUCAGGGGCACCAGGAGGGCACACACAGCGUCUCCCGGUGAAAGUGACAGGCACGUAUGAUGGAGAGGAAGUAUGAAGACAGUUCUUCACUGAUUCAGGUGUCCUUUUGGACCAUGACACUUCACAUUUUUUGGGAACAUUCUCCAGGGAAGCCAAUCUUUGUUUGUGGAGUGGGCAAAUCUGCUUCUAAGAAAUGGCCCAAGUCGUUCAGGGCCCUCCUGCUGAAUUACAAAGUUCCUGCAGGGUGCCCUGGACUCUAUUACCAACUGUCAUCAGGUUGCUGAACAGAAUAGGUUCUCAGAGUUUCGAAUCUUGCAGCUGAGCUAAGGAGGGCUGGCCAGCAAGCAGGUGCCUGUGAGGGGCGAGUGGCUGGACCCAGAGAAUCACACCUGCCCGGCGCUGGGAAGGAGCUGCAGGGGAGCCGGGAAGGGGGAGGACUGGGUGUGUCCAAGGCCGGCUGGCAGACUUGUCUUGCCCGUCACCCUCACGUGUCUCCUGGGAGAUUGUCAUCAGAGGGUGGGCUCCUCAGGCUGGGCUGUUCUAACUCCCAGCAGACCCCAGCACCCAGCAUGGCUCAGCCAGUCUUUUUGGGAUGAAGGGACUCCACGGCAGAGGCCCUGUGCACUGGAAGGAUGGAAUCACAUGACAUAAUGCACACAGGUAUCUGUAUGUAACAUACAUAUUUUGUGCUUCGUAAUUACGCUUAUUUAAUACACACUACAAUUUGUAUAUGAUAAAAUGAGAGGAACAAUGAUGACGCCAUUAGGGACCACAGUCUGUGAGAUGCACGCACACAACAGCGCCAUCUCCCAUUAAACCCGAUUAGCACAACCACAGAAACCAGCCGGACCCUGGCCAGAGGCUGUGUGUGAGGCAGGUAAUUCAGGGACUUGGGAGCAGGUGCCUGUAUUAGGAUUCUGGCUCUGCUGUUACCACCUGGUGCCCUUAGACCUGUUAUUCCACCUCUUUACACCUCCAUUUCCUCAUCUGUAAAAUGGAAAAAUAUUAGAGCUAACUUCAUGGGGCUGUUGAGAAGACUGUAUGAUUUAAUAUGUAUAAAGUGCUUAGAUUAAUUUCUGGCACAUAGUUCUGUACUACAUCAACUCUGGAUGGUAUUAUUAUUUUAAUCAGUAAUUUAAAAUUGUCUAGACUUGAAAGAGAUGGCCAGGUAUGGACAAAGCCAGCGAGAAAUCAUCUGGUCAGAGUCAUCUGUCUAAAACGCAUGGACAAAAAUGCCUAAGAUGUAGUUUGCAUUUCUAAUACGAUGGAUGAGGGUACUGAUUUCUAAUGCUGUCCGAAAUAAACAGACUGCCCAUUCAGGCUUAAAAGCCUGAACUUAUUCUUCAUUAAUUCACCCAUAAUACUGGAGACCUGGGGGUGAAAGAGACAAGCAGUCUCUCUGUCUUCAAGGUGUGCAGUGUGACAAGGGCCCCCCAACAGCUCAUCACACCGUGGGUUCCUCCAGUGGGGAAGUGCCCUGCUCUCAAUAAUGUGAAUUCUGGAAGCGAUGGGAGCAGAGGACUGUCUCUUGAAACAAGUGCAGCCUUCGCUGCGAUACAGAGGCGCUUGCCAGGGCUGGGUAUUGGAAUGGUGUUUUCCUUUCUAACUAUAAAUUUAAUGUGCUAUAUGGACAGACAGGAUGGACAUUUUUAUGCCAAGAGGAAGCUCAAAGGGGAGGGCUGGGAAGAGGAGGAGGAUGGAUAUCCAGAAAAAUGAUGCAAUAAUCAAGGUAAGAAGUAACUAGGGUCCGCCAGCAAAAACCGCUUUCUAGGGAAACAGAGUCAUCGUCUCUUUCCACACCCAGCUGAGGACCUGAAAAUGUGCCACCACAGAAAAUAUGUCUCUUCUCUGGGGAAUAAUGUCAUGAGAGUCACUGUAAGUUCACAGAAAUCUCGACGAUCUCCCAUAAAAGCUUUGUUUCACACUUCAUCCCAUGUGGAAACUUUAGCCAGGGCCACAUGAAAAACGAGUUUUAUGAGAGUACUUCUGAUUUGUAAGAAGGCUAUUUGGCUUCUGAACAGGGCAGCUUCCUGAAAGCCCCGGGAAUGGCAUUCUUACAUAUUGCACAUAGCAGGCGGCCUUCAUAACGAUCAGGGCCGCGUUUAGAUCUGGUGAAACGUUACGUGAGUGACAAACCUCGACCAAAGCAAUUGGGAGAAACUGCAGGGCCAAGAAUUUCUUGGUCACAGAGAUUGUCUCAAGCAUGAUAUAAAAAUGAGUCUGA